Molecule: unclassified non-coding RNA, 293 nt
Filed under: uncultured bacterium
Lineage: Bacteria
Description: partial contains 16S ribosomal RNA and 16S-23S ribosomal RNA intergenic spacer region
Rfam family: Bacterial small subunit ribosomal RNA (bases 1-257)
Source: RNAcentral
GUUUAGACCCACGGCGAACGGGUGAGUAAUACCUAGGAACUUUCCUUAAGUGGAGCAUAACCAGUCGAAAGAUUGGAUAAUACUCCAUGUGGCCGCAAGGCUAAAGUCGCAAGACGCUUAAGGUGAGGCCUGGGCACCAUCAGCUAGUUGGUAAGGUAACGGCUUACCAAGGCUAUGACGGUUAGGGGUCCCGAGAGGGAUAACCCCCACACUGGGACUGCGACACGGCCCAGACUCCUACGGGAGGCAGCAGUGGGAUCUUGGGAAAAACUCGAGCCUACCGGAGAUAGGGG